Long non-coding RNA from Aethalodelphis obliquidens (Pacific white-sided dolphin), 4121 nucleotides. RefSeq lists it as uncharacterized. Lineage: Eukaryota; Metazoa; Chordata; Mammalia; Artiodactyla; Delphinidae. The transcript has 3 exons. The record is from RefSeq and is a predicted model, not a curated record.
AUUUGAUGUCUUUUGCAUUUCCAUAUGAAUUUUAGGAUCAGAUGUCUCUUGCACUUCCAUAUGAAUUUUAGGAUCAGCUUAUCCUUUUCUGCAAAAAAGGCAAUUGGACAUUUCACAGGGCUUGCAUUUAAUCCGUAGAUAAUUUUGGGGGGUUACUGUCAUUUUAACAAUAUUAAGUCUUUCAGUCCAUGAACACAGGAUGUCUAUUUAUUUAGAUCUUUCAUUUUUUAAAAUAAUAUUUUGUGGUUUUUAGUGUACAAAUCUUAUAUUUCCUUGAUUAAAUUUAUUCCUAAGUAUUUUAUUCUUUUUGAUGUAUUGUGAAGGGAACUGCUUUGUUAAUUUCAUUUUCAGAUUGCUCAUUGCUGUGGUAUAGAAAUAUAACUAAUUUUUGUAUAUUGGACACUGAUCUUGAACACUGACACUUUGCAGAGCUAGUUUAUUUAAAACUAAAGCUACUAUUGUUUUAGUGAAUUCUUUAGGGUUUUCUGUAUAUAAUAUCAUGUUUUCUCCAAAUAGAGAUAAUUUUAUCUCUUACUUUCCAAUCUAGAUGUCUUUUAAUUCUUUUUUUUUUUUUUUGACUAAUUUCCCUGGCUAGAACCUCCAGUACAAUGUUGAAUGAAGUGGCAAAAGCAGACAUACUUAUCUUGUUCCUGAAAGCUUUUAGUUUUUCAUCAUUAAUCAUGAUGUUUGCUGUGGGUUUUCAAUAGUUGGCUUUCAUCAUGUUGAGAAAGUUCCCUUCUAUUCCUAGUUUGUUGUGUGUUUUCAUCAAGAAAUAGUAUUGGAUUUUGUCAUAUGCUUUUUCUGCAUAUAUUGAAAUGGUCAUGUGUUUUCUUUCCUUUAUUCUAUUAAUAUGAUGUUACUUUGAUUAUUUUUGCAGGUUGGACCAAUCUUGCAUUCCUGAGAAAAAUUCCACUUGUAAUGGUAUACAGUAUACUUACUUCAGCAGAAUAUUGAAUAACCCAAGUCUUUAUCAUCACAGAAGGAAAUGUUGAUUCUUUAUUAUAUCUGGCUUCAAGAUUAUCUAUCAAAGAUGUCAUUGUACAUGAUUUUGGAGUUUUUGUCAUCUCAAUUCUACAUGGAGCAAAAUUAACAUCUUUUUUUUUAAAUUUUAUCUUAAGAAGAUUUGAAGAUUUCUCAAAAUGAACUUUUUCUUGAAGGAAGCUUGUUCUAAAUGGAAUCAAACAAAUAAAACUUAAAUGAAGCUCUUAAAGAAUAACUUAUUGUUAUGAAUACUAAGUAGUAGAUUAAACAACCCUACAAUGAUCAGAAGUCUGCAACUGAGAAGCCCUUCUGCCACUAACAGCAACGUUCUUGGGUUCAAAAAAUAUUCUGAGCUUUCUCUGACCAAUAAUGUAAGUAGACGUGGUAUUGGAGUGUGUAUUCAUUUCCUAGGGCUACUGUAACAAAGUAUCCCAAGUUGGGUAGCUUUAAACAACAGAAAUUUAUUGUCUAUAGUUCUGGAGGCUGGAAGUCCAAAAUCAAAGUUUCAGCAGUGCCAUGCUCCCUCCAAAACCUGUAGAAGAAUCCUUCCCUGAUUCUUUCUAGUUUCUGGUGGUUUGCUGGCAAUCUGUGGUGUUCCUUUACUUGUAGCUGUCAAGGAACUCCAAUCCUCUGUCUUCACAUGGCAUUCUCCCUGUCUAUGUCUUUAUGUGGCCAUCUUCUUAUGAGGAUACCAGUUAUAUUGUAUUGGGAGGCCACCCUAUGCCAGCACCUCAUCUGAACUAAUUACAUCUGUAACCAUACUAUUUCCAAAUAAGGUCACAUUCUGAGGUGCUGGGGGUUAGGACUUCAACAUUUCUUUUGUGGGGGACCUAAUUCAAUUAAUAACAGGGUGCAUCUGCCCUAAGUUCCUAAUUCUGAUGCAUCUCUGGUUUAAAAAAUAAAUCUUGGAAAUAUGGUUGGUUAUAUAGCUGUUCCUUGGUAAAAUUUUCACUGCUGUUUCCUUCCUAUCUUUUUUUUUUUUCUGAUAUCUUUGUAUAAAUUCUGAUCUGGUUAUAAAGUUCUGACAUAGUUAACAAUGUGAUUUUUCUUAAAAAUGCCAAAUUAUCUUGGUAUACAUCAAAAUGCUUUUUCAGAAGCAAGCGAUCAUGGUUAUUAAAUAGGACAAUGAUUUUGAAUUCAAUGUAUAAUGCCUCAUUUUUAUUUCAGACUUAUUCUUUAAAGAGUUAACAUUAAUUUCCUGUAAACUAAUGCUGCUUUAGAAAUAAUGAACUACAACUUUUUAAAGUGACUUAUAAAACUAAUGUUAGAACAGAGUUAACAAACUAUGGCAUAUUGGAUAUUUUAUUUAAAACAUGGGGCCUGGGAACAGAAAGAAAAAUUACAUUUAAGGACCUAGCAGGAUUUGGCUAAAUUUCUUCUCUAUAUAAGCAGACUGAGUGGGUGCAGAAGCUCGUAGGUAAUUCCAUGUGACAGACCUAUUUCAUUUUCUCUUUCAAGUUCACCAUUAACCUUGGUUUUAAAGGAACAAGAAGGCUUCAAAAAUGUACUUACAAAUAUGUCAUUUAGUAAAGGUUAAAAGACAGACUCUUGCAUAAUAUGCAGUUCCAAAAAUAUCACUACUUGAAGUAGCCAUUUGGAAGCUUGUCCAGAUCCUUAAGAAGAAAAUAAAUAUCGCUCCCCUUCUUUACCUGUUGAUUUAAUAUAUUACAUGGGGAAUUAAAGAGAGCAGAAAACUUUUAGUUGGCUCCUUUGAACUGUAAGUAAGGAUUUUGGUGCUGACAUUCCAAUGGUAGCACAUGCCUGCGCAUGACCAUUGAUUUGAGUAAAGUCUUAGUUAUCACAUCAGAUUCUGUCUGGCACCCACAAUUCAGGAUAGUCUUAAAUAACAAUGAGUUAAAGAGCUGGGUACAGGAGUGGGUUUCAUAUACUCUUGAUUCAGCUUAGGUUGGUUCAUCCUAGAACUAUCUUAAAAUUUACAGGAAGUAAAUUCUUCUUUGGGUUCCUUCAUUGAGUCAUGUGAAAGUCUGCUACAGAGUGAAGUGUUCAUUUCAUGUUCCCUUUAUAGGUAAAUUAAAGUGUAUGGUGACAAAACAUUGAAAUAUUAUAAUAUAUAAAGUAAAAUCAUAGGAACAUAAUAUUUUAAACUUAACAUUGAUUUACCAAUCAGUCUUCAUUUUAUACUGAGAUGGGUCUUUAAAUUUUUGAAUAUAAGUUGAUUUUUGGUUAACAGUGACCAUUAUUUUAGAAUAUAAUAUGCUUAGCUUUAUAUGUAUUUAAGGAAGGGCUCAUUUAUCUAUCCUGUCAUCAGUUCCUAUUUUAAUCAUAAUUCCUUUCUUUGAAGAGACAACUAUUAUACAUAUUACACAUCAAUUGCAACAGGCAAUGAAUUUAUCAUUAAUCACCUUGUUAAACAGAAUUGAAUAGAAAUAUGCUCAAGUAGUACAACAAAAAAUACCUAGAGUAUAUAUUCAAUUUUUAAAGGUGUUAUACUACAAAAAUUAGAUUCUACUCCCAGCUAUUAUAAUCAUUCUGAGGCAAACUGGCUCGAAAGUACUACAGUACUUUACAGUACUAAAUUUCCAUAAGAGAAAAAAAUUUGGAGAGUAUCUCAGUUUGUAAUGAAUAAAAGAAAUCCUCAGAAUUUCAUCUCUAAACCACAGACAGCAAAGCAUUUCAUUGAAUUGAAAUUGAAGCCAGGUUCAACCCAUGUUAUUAUGACUUCACUUAAAGCAAUUACUGUAUUUCUUUAAAGUUCUGUAGGCUCUCAAAUCACAAUUUAACAGUAUGACUAAAGCUAUACUAAAUACUCAAAAGCAAAGUUUUCUUAAAGGGAGGGAAAUGGCAGGUAUAAAUUUAGCAUGGUUCACAAAGAUCAACAAAAUAAUCAUACUACUAAAAGACAGCAUCACAUGUUAACUUAGAGUGAACAUAAAAUUCGUAAUAUAUAAACACUUCAACCUCUAGAGCAGGUUUGGCAGUGGGAAGAAGAUUGAAAGAUAAUUAGUUUGAUUUGGGAAAUGCUAAUGGACUAGUAGGACAAUGCCAGAUGGUAUUCAGAUGACUUUUCAGAGGCAAUAGAUUGAUUUACUAAUAUGUAUGUAGUUCUAGCAGUAUUUUUUUUUUUUUUUUUGCAGUACACGGGCCUCUCACUGUUGUGGCCUCUCCCGUUGCGGAGCACA